GGGGAAUAUUGCACAAUGGGGGAAACCCUGAUGCAGCGACGCCGCGUGGAGGAAGAAGGUCUUCGGAUUGUAAACUCCUGUUGUUGGGGAAGAUAAUGACGGUACCCAACAAGGAAGUGACGGCUAACUACGUGCCAGCAGCCGCGGUAAAACGUAGGUCACAAGCGUUGUCCGGAAUUACUGGGUGUAAAGGGAGCGCAGGCGGGAGAACAAGUUGGAAGUGAAAUCCAUGGGCUCAACCCAUGAACUGCUUUCAAAACUGUUUUUCUUGAGUAGUGCAGAGGUAGGCGGAAUUCCCGGUGUAGCGGUGGAAUGCGUAGAUAUCGGGAGGAACACCAGUGGCGAAGGCGGCCUACUGGGCACCAACUGACGCUGAGGCUCGAAAGUGUGGGUAGCAAACAGGAUUAGAUACCCUGGUAGUCCACACCGUAAACGAUGAUUACUAGGUGUUGGAGGAUUGACCCCUUCAGUGCCGCAGUUAACACAAUAAGUAAUCCACCUGGGGAGUACGACCGCAAGGUUGAAACUCAAAGGAAUUGACGGGGGCCCGCACAAGCAGUGGAGUAUGUGGUUUAAUUCGACGCAACGCAAAGAACCUUACCAAGUCUUGACAUCCCUUGACGAUGCUGGAAACAGCAUUUCUCUUCGGAGCAAGGAGACAGGUGGUGCAUGGUUGUCGUCAGCUCGUGUCGUGAGAUGUUGGGUUAAGUCCCGCAACGAGCGCAACCCUUAUGGUCAGUUACUACGCAAGAGGACUCUGGCCAGACUGCCGUUGACAAAACGGAGGAAGGUGGGGAUGACGUCAAAUCAUCAUGCCCUUUAUGACUUGGGCUACACACGUACUACAAUGGCGUUAAACAAAGAGAAGCAAGACCGCGAGGUGGAGCAAAACUCAGAAACAACGUCCCAGUUCGGACUGCAGGCUGCAACUCGCCUGCACGAAGUCGGAAUUGCUAGUAAUCGUGGAUCAGCAUGCCACGGUGAAUACGUUCCCG
Molecule: ribosomal RNA, 995 nt
Filed under: uncultured bacterium
Lineage: Bacteria
Description: bacterial SSU rRNA
Rfam family: Bacterial small subunit ribosomal RNA
Source: RNAcentral